Molecule: ribosomal RNA, 999 nt
Filed under: uncultured bacterium
Lineage: Bacteria
Description: bacterial SSU rRNA
Rfam family: Bacterial small subunit ribosomal RNA
Source: RNAcentral
UGGGGAAUAUUGCACAAUGGGGGAAACCCUGAUGCAGCGACGCCGCGUGAGCGAUAAAGUAUUUCGGUAUGUAAAGCUCUAUCAGCAGGGAAGAAAAUGACGGUACCUGGAGAAAAAGCAACGGCUAACUACGUGCCAGCAGCCGCGGUAAUACGUAGGUUGCGAGCGUUGUCCGGAUUUACUGGGUGUAAAGGGCGUGUAGGCGGAGAUGCAAGUUGGGAGUGAAAUCCAUGGGCUCAACCCAUGAACUGCUUCCAAAACUGUAUCCCUUGAGUAUCGGAGAGGCAAGCGGAAUUCCUAGUGUAGCGGUGAAAUGCGUAGAUAUUAGGAGGAACACCAGUGGCGAAGGCGGCUUGCUGGACGACAACUGACGCUGAGGCGCGAAAGCGUGGGGAGCAAACAGGAUUAGAUACCCUGGUAGUCCACGCUGUAAACGAUGAAUACUAGGUGUGGGAGGACUGACCCCUUCCGUGCCGCAGUUAACACAAUAAGUAUUCCACCUGGGGAGUACGACCGCAAGGUUGAAACUCAAAGGAAUUGACGGGGGCCCGCACAAGCAGUGGAUUAUGUGGUUUAAUUCGACGCAACGCGAAGAACCUUACCAGGACUUGACAUCCAACUAACGAAGUAGAGAUACAUUAGGUGCCCUUCGGGGAAAGUUGAGACAGGUGGUGCAUGGUUGUCGUCAGCUCGUGUCGUGAGAUGUUGGGUUAAGUCCCGCAACGAGCGCAACCCCUAUUGUUAGUUGCUACGAAAGAGCACUCUAGCGAGACUGCCGUUGACAAAACGGAGGAAGGCGGGGACGACGUCAAAUCAUCAUGCCCCUUAUGUCCUGGGCUACACACGUAAUACAAUGGUGGAAAACAGAGGGAAGCAAAGCCGCGAGGCAGAGCAAAACCCUAAAAGCCAUCUCAGUUCGGAUUGCAGGCUGCAACUCGCCUGCAUGAAGCUGGAAUUGCUAGUAAUCGCGGAUCAGAAUGCCGCGGUGAAUACGUUCCC